UGGGGAAUUUUGCACAAUGGGGGAAACCCUGAUGCAGCGACGCCGCGUGAUUUAGAAGGCCUUCGGGUUGUAAAAAUCUUUUCUAUGGGAAGAAAAUGACAGUACCAUAGGAAUAAGGACCGGCUAAUUACGUGCCAGCAGCCACGGUAAUACGUAAGGUCCGAGCGUUGUCCGGAAUCAUUGGGCGUAAAGGGUACGUAGGCGGGUAAGCAAGUUAGAAGUGAAAUCCUAUAGCUCAACUAUAGUAAGCUUUUAAAACUGCUCAUCUUGAGGUAUGGAAGGGAAAGUGGAAUUCCUAGUGUAGCGGUGAAAUGCGCAGAUAUUAGGAGGAAUACCGGUGGCGAAGGCGACUUUCUGGCCAUAACCUGACGCUGAGGUACGAAAGCGUGGGUAGCAAACAGG
This 402-nucleotide ribosomal RNA is filed under the name bacterium. Its description in RNAcentral is "partial 16S ribosomal RNA". It matches the Rfam family "Bacterial small subunit ribosomal RNA", at positions 355 to 776 of the family's 1533-position model. The record is from RNAcentral. RNAcentral also lists the same sequence under 1 other name.